AUGAUGUGUGCAGAGGGUCCCUGGUUUGCGCACGGGUAUGGGCGAGGGGACGGUCUAAAGUUAUACUGUUACAGUUGCAGUAGUAGCAGUAGGAUAGGUAGGAUAAGUAGUAGAAGUAGAAUAAGUAGUAGAGGUAGGAGAAGUAGUCAGGGUAGGAUCAGUCGGAGCAGUAGUAUAAGUAGGAGAAGUAGGAUCAGUAGGAUCAGUAGUUGCAGUAGCAGCAGUAGGAUCAGUAGUAGAAGUAGGAUCAGUAAUAGCAGUAGUAGAAGUAGGAUCAGCAGCAGCAGUAGGAUCAGUAGUAGAAGUAGGAUCAGUAACAGCAGUAGUAGAGGUAGUAGAAGUAGGAGAAGUAGGAUCAGUAGUAGCGAUAGUAGCGGUAGGAUCAGUAAUAGCAGUAGUAGAGGUAUGAUCAGUAGUAGCAGUAGGAGCAGUAAUAGCAGUAGGACCAGUAGAGGCAGUAGUAGCGUUAGGAGCAGUAGUAGCAGUAGAGGCAGUAGUAGCAUUAGGAGCAGUAGUAGCAGUAGUAGCAGUAGGAGAAGUAGGAGCAAUAGUAUCAUUAGGAGCAGUAGUAGCAUUAGGAGCAGUAGUAGCAGUAGAGGCAGUAGCAGCAGGCGGAGCAGUAGUAGCAUUAGGAGCAGUAGUAGCAGUAGAGGCAGUAGUAGCAGGCGGAGCAGUAAUAGCAGUAGUAGCAUUAGGAGCAGUAGUAGCAGUAGUAGCAGGUGGAGCAGUAGUAGCAGUAGUAGCAGCAGUAGCAGUAGUAGCAGUAGUAGGAGUAGGGUCAGUAGUAUAAGUAGGAGAAGUAGUAUCAAUAGGAUCAGUAGUUGCAGUAGAAACAGUAGAAGCAGCAGUAGCAGUAGGAUCAGUAGCAGCAGUAGGAUCAGUAGUAGAAGUAGGAUCAGUAAUAGCAGUAGUAGAGGUAGUAGAAGUAGGAUCAGUAGUAGAAGUAGGAUCAGUAGUAGAAGUAGGAUCAGUAGUAGCGAUAGUAGCGGUAGGAUCAGUAAUAGCAGUAGUAGAGGUAUGAUCACUAGUAGCAGUAGUAGCAGUAGUAGCAGUAGUAGCAGUAGUAGCAUUAGGUGCAGUAGUAGAAGUAGUAGCAGUAGUAGCAUUAGGAGCAGUAGUAGCAGGAGUAGCAGUAGUAGCAGUAGGAGCAGUAGUAGGAGUAGGAGCAGUAGUAUAAGUAGGAGAAGUAGGAUCAAUAGGAUCAGUAGUUGCAGUAGGAGCAGUAGUAACAGGCGGAGCAGUAGUAGCAGUAGUAGAAGUAGGAUCAGUAAUAGCAGUAGUAGAGGUAGUAGAAGUAGGAUCAGUAGUAGAAGUAGGAUCAGUAGUAGCGAUAGUAGCGGUAGGAUCAGUAAUAGCAGUAGUAGAAGUAUGAUCAGUAGUAGCAGUAGUAGCAGUAGGAGCAGUAGUAGCAGUAGAGGCAGUAGAAGCAUUAGGAGCAGUAGUAGCAGUAGAGGCAGUAGUAGCAGUAGUAGCAGUAGAAGCAGUAGGAGCAGUAGGAGCAGUAGGAGCAGUAGUAGGAGCAGUGGGAACAUUAGUAGCAGUAGUAGCAGUAGGAGCAGUAGUAGCAGUAGGAGCAGUAGGAGCAGUAGUAGCAGUAGUUGCAGUAGUAGCAGGCGGAGCAGUAGUAGCAGUAGUAGUAGUAGGAGCAGUAGGAGCAGUAGUAACAGGCGGAGCAGUAGUAGCAGGCGGAGCAGUAAUAGCAUUAGAGGCAGUAGUAGCAGUAGUAGUAGUAGGAGCAGUAGGAGCAGUCGUAGCAUUCGGUAG
This 1764-nucleotide long non-coding RNA is filed under the name Oncorhynchus mykiss (rainbow trout). Its description in RNAcentral is "lncRNA (ENSOMYG00000060691.1)". The record is from RNAcentral. Lineage: Eukaryota; Metazoa; Chordata; Actinopteri; Salmoniformes; Salmonidae.